This 76-nucleotide transfer RNA is filed under the name Ralstonia solanacearum. RNAcentral's name for it is "tRNA-Ala". It matches the Rfam family "tRNA". Rfam says of the family: Transfer RNA (tRNA) molecules are approximately 80 nucleotides in length. Their secondary structure includes four short double-helical elements and three loops (D, anti-codon, and T loops). Further hydrogen bonds mediate the characteristic L-shaped molecular structure. tRNAs have two regions of fundamental functional importance: the anti-codon, which is responsible for specific mRNA codon recognition, and the 3' end, to which the tRNAs corresponding amino acid is attached (by aminoacyl-tRNA synthetases). tRNAs cope with the degeneracy of the genetic code in two manners: having more than one tRNA (with a specific anti-codon) for a particular amino acid; and 'wobble' base-pairing, i.e. permitting non-standard base-pairing at the 3rd anti-codon position. The record is from RNAcentral. RNAcentral also lists the same sequence under 13 other names. Lineage: Bacteria; Pseudomonadati; Pseudomonadota; Betaproteobacteria; Burkholderiales; Burkholderiaceae.
GGGGCGGUAGCUCAGCUGGGAGAGCGUCGCGUUCGCAAUGCGAAGGUCGUGGGUUCGAUCCCCAUUCGCUCCACCA